This 114-nucleotide Y RNA is filed under the name Propithecus coquereli (Coquerel's sifaka). RNAcentral describes it as "Y RNA (ENSPCOG00000002182.1)". It matches the Rfam family "Y RNA". From Rfam's summary of the family: Y RNAs are components of the Ro ribonucleoprotein particle (Ro RNP), in association with Ro60 and La proteins. Lineage: Eukaryota; Metazoa; Chordata; Mammalia; Primates; Indriidae. The record is from Rfam by way of RNAcentral.
GGCUGGUCUGAAGGUAAUGAGUUAUCUCACUUGAUUGUUCACAAUCAGUUAUAAAUGGAACUCCUUCUUCUACUACUUUCAGCUCUCCUCCCUACUGCACUUGACUAGUCUUAA